AGGCACCAGAUACAAGCCUGACAGCCUGAUUUGUCCCAGAUGUGUCUGGGAUGAUCUGUGGCUGCAUGGCUUUGAACGGUGCGAUAGCAGCAGCAGCCCUGAGAUUUAAGCUUUUCAGUGAGAAGCAGCACUGUUGGGUUAUGGCUCAGUGGCACAGAG
Molecule: non-coding RNA, 159 nt
Organism: Mugil cephalus (flathead mullet)
Lineage: Eukaryota; Metazoa; Chordata; Actinopteri; Mugiliformes; Mugilidae
Product: small Cajal body-specific RNA 1
Exons: 1
Source: RefSeq, a predicted model, not a curated record